GGCUGGUCUGAGUGCAUAGUGUUUACAAAUAAUUGAUCACAACCAAUUACAGAUUCCUUUAUUCUUUCUCCACUCCCUCUGCUUCACUUGACUAGCCUAAA
Molecule: Y RNA, 101 nt
Filed under: Microcebus murinus (gray mouse lemur)
Lineage: Eukaryota; Metazoa; Chordata; Mammalia; Primates; Cheirogaleidae
Description: Y RNA (ENSMICG00000043396.1)
Rfam family: Y RNA
About the family: Y RNAs are components of the Ro ribonucleoprotein particle (Ro RNP), in association with Ro60 and La proteins.
Source: Rfam by way of RNAcentral